CCCGCAAAAAAACCAGCCUCUCGAUCCCAUCCCCGAUCUCCAGACUCUGGAUAGGUGCUCUUUCGUUGCCGCCGCCGCCGCUGUCCGAGGGGAGACGUCGCCGCCGCCGAGGGGAGACGCCGCCACCCGGGGGAGACGCCACCGCCGCCCUUGGCGCUGUAUUCCCUCGACGCCUUCUUCCGGAACGCCGCGGAGAAGAAGACCGCGGGGGCGCAGCAGGAGGAGCCCUCACCGCCAGCCGUCGCGACAGUUGCCGCCGCGGACUCCCUCCUCGCCAAUCUGUUCGCGGGCGUCUCGGCCGUCAAGGCGGCCUACACGCAGCUGAAGCUCGCGCAGUUCCCCUAUGAUGCAGAGGCCAUUCAGUCCGCGGACGCUGCCGUGGUCGCGGAGCUCACCAAGCUGUCCGACACCAAGCGGAGGUUCCUCAAGGAUCCCACAGGCGCGGCCAGGGAAGCCGCGGCCGCGGGCAACACCGCCCUCUCCACGCAUGCCGAGGAGCAGCGCCAUCUGCUCAAGACGUACCAGAUCACGGCGCGCAAGCUGGAGGCGGAGCUCCGUGCGAAGGAUGCGGAGCUCGACCGCGCCAAGGGCUCCCUCGAUGCGGAUAACAUAAGCUCUUCUUUUCUCUUUUGUGUUUGAAUCAGAUUUGGUUGUCUCCAUUUUACAGGCAUGUAUUGAUCUUGGUCUUGUUCUAUAUGCAGGGUACACUCAAUGUUUCACGUUUGGUGAAAGAAAAGAGUCUGCUUUGUUGAUUUUGUGCAAGAUUGUAUGAUCUGCCAUGUAUUAGUAGAUCAGUUGCUUCUCUUUGUAGGGGGCGAUUACUGAUCCAAUCUAAUUUAUUUCAUCUAUGCCCAACUUGGUUCGAUCGAAUUUGCCAUAUAGUAGGCUUAUGAAUAUGUUUUAGUUUCUUUCAGCUGAAUAUAUAUCAGUCAUGUUUUACUGGCAUUUUAUCUUUCAAGAUGAAGGAGCGGAGUUACACAUGCGGAGCUGUUCAGGGUUCAAGGAGAUACACCCGAUUGAACAAGGUUGCAGCAGAAACUCAAGUCCAACAAUGUUCUUAGAGGCUUGUGAGUUAUUGGGCGUGAAGCCUGAAGAUAUUGUGCUCAGUCUAGAUGACUAAUCAGUUAGUGUAUUCUCACUAUUGCAUGCUCAGUUGUAAAUCCCAGUAUGCAAUAUUGCACACAACUUCUUUGUGCUUCAAAUGGUCAAGUGCUCACCUCCUCCUUUUAUUGGUUUGAGUAUUCAAGCUAUGCAUCUAGCUGAUUGGUGAUUCUGAUUUUGUAUUAAACUUUGCAUGUGUUACUUACAGUAGCAGUGCAUAAUUAGUGACAAAUCAAAUGUUGAAUCAGGGUCCUUUGUUGAUGACUUUGGAUCAUCAUUUAUUUCGAAAUGAGCUGAAUAUGGUUGCCUCCCUCCGUACCAUGAGGAAGUUAGUUCAAUGCGUUAAUCCCUGUUCCUUUCAUGUGUGGUUAGCUUUGUUCUAUACUUCCAUUCUUACUUGGAAUUUUUGUUCUAUAAUUUGGUGGCUGCUUACAUUUGGAUGAGAAGAAGCUCUCCGCGAGGGCAAGACCAGGAGCAUGAUGGGGACAGUAAGUGCAUUGAAGUGGGUCUUGCAGUCCAUAGUGGAUGGCCAGUGUAGCGUGCCAUCCAAACCUGUCAUCUGAUGAAGUCGGUUUGGUUAUGGGAAGCAUCUUUGUCAACCACUAUUCAUGUGCAGAAUUAAUUGAUUUGUUCAUCGUGGAGAUAGUUUUACUGGAAGGCUGUUGGCUUCCCCACAGGGUCCUUCGUUGAUGACUUUGGAUCAUCAUUUAUUCCGAAAUGAGCUGAAUAUGGUUGCCUCCCUCCGUUCCAUGAGGAAGUUAGUUCAAUGCGUUAAUCCCUGUUCCUUACAUGUGUGGUUUGCUUUGUUCUAUUCUGACAUUGAUGGAGACAGUAAGUACAUAGAUGUUAUCACUACUGCAAAUCUCAAACAUGUUUUGGCUUAUUCAAAGAUCACACAUGUUUCUUUCCCCAACAUCUAUUCCUAUUGCUCCAUUGACCUGAUUCUGAGUAUUUCCAUGCUAAAAAAUGAUGUUUCCGAACGAUGUAGGAUCAAUGGAAGAAAAUAUCCAAUGUGCCAGGUUAUGCACAACUCAACAUUUGACCUUUGUUAUUUGUAGGAGCAUCUCAUCUUGAAUACUGGUUCUUAGAGCAUUGUUCUCCAGCCCUUAUUUGCUUAACUUACUACAAUAUGCUCCUAAGACACAAAUUAUUCUUGUAUGUGUGUACGCUUACUUAGACACACUCCCCUACCUGAACCCUCAAUUCAUGUUGCAUCUUCUGAAUUCUUGUUUCUAUAUUGGUAUUUUUUUAGAAGUAUUUUUUCAGCAAAUGUUAACGACAGCUGAUAUCUAAGGUAAAAGUCCAGGAAGUUUUAUGUAAUAUGACAGAUAGAGGUUUGCGCGCGAGCUAUGGUACUACGCAGUGUAAGUACGACUUGUUUUGGUAUGAGUGUACUCUCGAGAAGGUUUGCGCAAAACCUUCUUCAUGGUCCUAAGUCAAUGGUAUACGGUUAUCCAGUAGUACUUGUUCUAGGAAGGCUAACCUUGGAUACAGUGACUUUUUAUAAGGUACUUUUGGUGUUUAACUCUGAUAGCUUUCACAUGUAGUGGUUCCAAGAACUUUGAUAUCACCCUUUACCUUGUAUUUGCGCAGUAGACAUAAACCUUCUGCAACUUACUACUCGAGGACAAAGAUUGUUAGCCAAUUUUUCAUGACUCGGCUCUAAAGCUACUUUGUUCUUUGCAGCCUUAUUUAUAUCUUUUUGACCUGGUUAUAAUUAUUGGUUGGUAUUAUUAUUAUUAUUAUUAUUAUUAUUUCGAGAAAACGCAAAGCGAUUUUGCGUUUCAUUGCAUUGAAAAGGUGGGAAAGUACAUGCCUCCUAGGAGGUUAUAUUUACAGGGUCCUAGCUGGUUGGUAUUAUUUUAUUCUUUUGGAUUACACAUCCUCUUCUUUUGCUAAAUAACAGCGAUUCUAGAUUGUGGAAUCCUUGAAAGGUUCUUUUUUAUUAACACAAUCUUGUUUCAGUUUAACAAAAUCAUGACCGGAAUGACACUAGGACCCAGUAUCAUGCCAACCAUUAGAUGAUCAAGAAGUUCAAGCUAUGCGUCGUGGCGGUUGGAGGGCAGCUAGAGCAGCGGCUUGUGACGAGGCAUGGCUAGCGGCAGCUGGAGGCGGAGCUGGUAGUGCGGUUUAUGGCCGACAUGGGGCUUGUCGGAGCCGAGGCCGACCACGGCGUGACGAGGCGGCUGGGAUAGGCGAGACGAGGGAGAGGGAGCCGGAGGGAGGAGAGGUCAGGUGGCGGCAUGGCUUGCCUCACCGGUGGCUGCGUGUGGUGUGCGUGUGUUGUGUCUGGGUGGGGGAGGGGGAAGAUAGAGGGACCACGUGGUGUUUUUUUAGUUGGACAUGCAAAGGUCCAAACUGCUACACAGCUCCUCCAGAUUUGUUCUGGUUUGCGGGAAAAUGAUAGUUUGGAAUGCUCCGCGGACCGACAGGGGGCCUCAUUGGAUGACAAAAGUCGACAAAUAUGGUCUGGACACUACAAUCCGGACAUAUUCUGGAGCUUUGAGGGUCUUCUUUGCAGAUGCCCUUAUCAUCUAAAUAAUCAACAUAUCAAGCGACAUGGUUUUUGCACUAGAGCUUCUAUAUCGCCGCCCCAUCUUCCGUUACAAUGUGGUCAGCUUGGACGACAUUGUGUUGAUUGCUCAUCGACCAUGGCCACAAAGAUGGCUCCCCCAUGAUGACUACACGUGAAGUCCAGCUGCCCACACCCCACACUGGCAGCCGUGCUAGGUCGCGUGACCGGCAUUGGCGCGUCCUCGUGGGUGGCGGUGAGGAGGACGGCCAGUGGCAGCCCCCCGAAGCACCAUCACGACGGCACCUCGCCGCGGCCGCUCGGCAUGGGUUGCCGCCCCGCGUCCUAGAGAUGGGGAAUCUUGUAGCUGGAGAUGUAUACAUGGUUGACUCAAUCCUAAUUGUUGGAAACAAUAUCACAGAUCAAAGCUUUAUCGAGUCUCAUAAAAUGUGUGAGAAGUGUGAGAAUAGAGUUCUCAAGAAGGAGGCAUCAUGGGCAUUGUGAAACGUAGCAGCAGGCAACUUUGGGCCAGGAAAUAUUGCAGGUUAUGAGGGUGUACCCCAAACAGUGCCCAAAGCAUGUGGAGAGGAAGGAUGCCCACGGGCAUUUGUUGGCGCAAGCUGAUGCGAUCCCGCUGUGGCAAUUGGGAUGGGUAGAUGGGGAGGCAUGGUGGAGGCCGGUGGCAGCAUCUGGCAAGAAAACAAUGAGCGCGGCGGCGGCAGUGUACAGUGGCAUGGCCGUUGUGUGGCAGCCGUCGCAUAGACGUCGAAGGAGCACCAGCGACGCGCACGCACACACAGACAGACACACUGAUGGUGCUGCUGGAGGCCAUGGGGCUGAGCAAGGAUGGCACUGGUAGCAUUACUAUCAAGAACACCGGCAUGGCAUUGAGUCUUGUUAUCUAUAAUGCACGCGACACAACAUGGUCGUCUUCCACCACACUGCGGCCUCCACACGACGCCUCCAACCCUCCAAAGCGUGUCACCUCAAUGGUCGCCGUCGCCUCAUGCUCCAGCUCUCCCAGCCACCGCCACAGGUCACCGCCUCUGUCCCUCCAAAGAACAGCGCCUCUCUUGUUGCAACCUCCUUGCCACGGUGACCAACGACGGGGAGGAGGAGGAGCUGGGCGAGGCAGAGAGGCCAAGGGCGAAGUGCUGUGGGUGCUUCAUUCGGAUAGAAGUCAAGGGCUGACUCCUUAAUAUCUUGCAGGCCUAAAGUUAUGUUAUUGGUUGCUACAGGUCACCACAUCCACUUCCUAGGGCCGCAAGCGGCAAUGGUGAGGAGGUGAGUGACAACGGGAGGCUAAGGUGAAACUGAUGAGAAGUAGUGUCGCUUCCUCAAUUAUGUGUAUGGAGAAGGGAAAAGUGUGGGUAGCUUUGAGGAUGCUAUUGGCAUAAUUACUUUUCCUCGAGAGCAGAGUUUCUGAAGUGUAUGGAGACGAGAAAGGAAACAGAGAAGUGGCCGGAUGGGCAAUCAACUCAUCUGUUGAUUGGAUUGGGGGGUGGCAUGAAGAAAGUAAAGGUGAAGAAAGCAAGCUGGACGCUAGGUGGCGGCACCAACAGGGGAAGUGUCAGGCGUGAACCAAACAUCUAUGGCUUGUUGCUUUGAAUCUUGCCGGUCUAGGCAAGACACGGGGGAAUUGCAUAAUGUAUUCUCUCCAGUGGAGUCUAUAUAGCCAUAUACUAUUCUUCAAACAAUGGAACAGCUGGAUGUCAGUGCCAACGAACUACCCACUCAAUUGUAGGCUCAACUCCAACCAGCUCCAUUCUAGGAAUAGAUGGAUUUGUAGUUUUCGACUCCAAAAAGUUUGUUGGGCCUCUACUUUGAGUGAGAACCAGACAGUCAUACUGCAAACACAUAAAAAAGUAAUGGUUGAAGUAAAGCAGAAUAAUAUUCUCAAGUUUAAUAUACAAAAGGAAAAUGAAAAGAUCAUGAUAACAAACAU
Molecule: non-coding RNA, 5558 nt
Organism: Triticum urartu
Lineage: Eukaryota; Viridiplantae; Streptophyta; Magnoliopsida; Poales; Poaceae
Source: RefSeq, a predicted model, not a curated record